This 115-nucleotide small RNA is filed under the name Streptomyces sp. DvalAA-14. RNAcentral's name for it is "Streptomyces-metK RNA". It matches the Rfam family "Streptomyces-metK RNA". The record is from Rfam by way of RNAcentral. Lineage: Bacteria; Bacillati; Actinomycetota; Actinomycetes; Kitasatosporales; Streptomycetaceae.
ACGAGACGGCCGGAUGCGCCCGGCGACUCGGAGGAUAAACUAACCGCGGAGGCCGGGCGCAGCCCCGCGCCCUCCACCACACAUGUGAGCCAGCAGCCGCUGCAACCCCAGGGAG